Helianthus annuus (common sunflower) is the source of this 102-nucleotide non-coding RNA. The record is from Rfam. NCBI's taxonomy places the organism in Eukaryota, Viridiplantae, Streptophyta, Magnoliopsida, Asterales, Asteraceae.
UACAAUGAUGAGGGAAAUUCCAUUGAAACUCCUUGAACCUAUCCCAGGCGUCUCAGAAAUUUUCAUCCUCUUCUUGCUCAAAUCAAUAUAUCCUGCUAUGCA